GAGCGAUGGAAGCUUGCUUCUAUCAAUCUUAGUGGCGAACGGGUGAGUAACGCGUAAUCAACCUGCCCUUCAGAGGGGGACAACAGUUGGAAACGACUGCUAAUACCGCAUACGAUCCAAUCUCGGCAUCGAGACUGGAUGAAAGGUGGCCUCUAUUUAUAAGCUAUCACUGAAGGAGGGGAUUGCGUCUGAUUAGCUAGUUGGAGGGGUAACGGCCCACCAAGGCGAUGAUCAGUAGCCGGUCUGAGAGGAUGAACGGCCACAUUGGGACUGAGACACGGCCCAGACUCCUACGGGAGGCAGCAGUGGGGAAUCUUCCGCAAUGGACGAAAGUCUGACUGAGCAACGCCGCGUGAGUGAUGACGGCCUUCGGGUUGUAAAGCUCUGUUAAUCGGGACGAAUGGUUCUUGUGCGAAUAGUGCGAGGAUUUGACGGUACCGGAAUAGAAAGCCACGGCUAACUACGUGCCAGCAGCCGCGGUAAUACGUAGGUGGCAAGCGUUGUCCGGAAUUAUUGGGCGUAAAGCGCGCGCAGGCGGAUUGGUCAGUCUGUCUUAAAAGUUCGGGGCUUAACCCCGUGAUGGGAUGGAAACUGCCAAUCUAGAGUAUCGGAGAGGAAAGUGGAAUUCCUAGUGUAGCGGUGAAAUGCGUAGAUAUUAGGAAGAACACCAGUGGCGAAGGCGACUUUCUGGACGAAAACUGACGCUGAGGCGCGAAAGCCAGGGGAGCGAACGGGAUUAGAUACCCCGGUAGUCCUGGCCGU
This 762-nucleotide ribosomal RNA is filed under the name uncultured bacterium. Its description in RNAcentral is "bacterial SSU rRNA". It matches the Rfam family "Bacterial small subunit ribosomal RNA", at positions 68 to 803 of the family's 1533-position model. The record is from RNAcentral.